RNAcentral lists this ribosomal RNA (497 nucleotides) under uncultured bacterium. RNAcentral's name for it is "partial 16S ribosomal RNA". It matches the Rfam family "Bacterial small subunit ribosomal RNA", at positions 28 to 507 of the family's 1533-position model. The record is from RNAcentral.
GAUGAACGCUGGCGGCGUGCCUAAUACAUGCAAGUCGAGCGAACGGACGAGAAGCUUGCUUCUCUGAUGUUAGCGGCGGACGGGUGAGUAACACGUGGAUAACCUACCUAUAAGACUGGGAUAACUUCGGGAAACCGUAGCUAAUACCGGAUAAUAUUUUGAACCGCAUGGUUCAAGAGUGAAAGACGGUCUUGCUGUCACUUAUAGAUGGAUCCGCGCUGCAUUAGCUAGUUGGUAAGGUAACGGCUUACCAAGGCAACGAUGCAUAGCCGACCUGAGAGGGUGAUCGGCCACCCUGGAACUGAGACACGGUCCAGACUCCUACGGGAGGCCGCAGUAGGGAAUCUUCCGCAAUGGGCGAAAGCCUGACGGAGCAACGCCGCGUGAGUGAUGAAGGUCUUCGGAUCGUAAAACUCUGUUAUUAGGGAAGAACAUAUGUGUAAGUAACUGUGCACAUCUUGACGGUACCUAAUCAGAAAGCCACGGCUAACUACGUG